UUUACAGCCAGGGUCUCACUAUGUUGCCCAGGCUACUCUCAAACUCCUGGGCUCAAGUGAUCCUCCUGCCUUGCCCUCCCAAAGCGCUGGGAUUACAGAUGUAAGCCAUCAUGCCCUGCAACACUGUUUCUUUAGGAAGCCCUCCCUGGACACCCCCCCACCCACUCCAGACCGGUUGGUGAUCCUGAGCUCAGAGGAAGUCUGCUGUGAACAUCGCAGAACCACCCACGGCACCUUUUUGUGGCACCCUCACCAUGGAUCCAGUGUCUAAAGGCAGUUUCUCCAAGUUAGGCAAACAGAGAGGUGGCAGCCCACGUGUGUUUCAAGGGGACACAAAGUCACCCCUCUUGUCCCCUCCUGCCUCCUACCUGGCUGGCCUCCCUUUUCCUGCGGGCUAAAGACUGUUUACUCAGCUGCCUUCUGGCAGGAAGGCCUCUGGCAAGGCAGCUCAGCGUUGGGCCACUUCAUGUGCUCACGUGCGCACACACUUUUCAGAAAAUGCUUCCAAGAUUUCUCAAGCGAACAGUUAUUUCUGGGACUAUUUUAUUUGCAUUUUACCACACACACACUUGUCCUCAGAAACAUGGGCAUUUGCACUUCUAGUGAUUUUUAAAUUUAUAGUUAUUGAUUAUAAGUCAUAUAAAUACACAUUAUUGACCUUAGAGAUUUAUUUGAAUUUCAACUGCAAUCCUUCAAGAGAAUUAUUACUAUUAUUAUUAUUAUUAUUAUUAUUAUUAUUUGAGAUGGAGUCUCACUCUGUCACCCAGGCUGGAGUACAGUGGUGCAAUCUCAGCUCAUUGCAACCUCCACCUCCCAGGUUCAAGAGAUUCUUCUGCCUCAGCCUCCCAAGUAGUUGAGAUUACAGGUGCCUGCUACCACAUCUGGCUAAUUUCUGUAUUUUUAGUAGAGAUGGGGUUUCACCAUGUUGGUCAGGCUGGUCUUGAACUCCUGACCUCAAGUGAUCUACCCACCUUGGCCUCCCAAAGUGCUGGGAUUACAGAUGUGAGCCACUGCACCCGGCCAAAAGUAUUAUUUUUAAAAUAUCUUAAAAUAAAAUUUAAAAAAUGAAGAUGGAAAUAAUAGACACUGAGUACUCCAAAAUGCGGGAGGGUUGGGAGGGGGAGGGUUGAAAAAUUACCCACUGGGUGCAACAUUCACUACUGGGUGAUGGGUACACGAGAAGCCAAGUCCCUACCCAUUAACAAGCAUGCCCAUGUACCCCCAAAUCUAAAACAAA
Molecule: long non-coding RNA, 1237 nt
Filed under: Homo sapiens (human)
Lineage: Eukaryota; Metazoa; Chordata; Mammalia; Primates; Hominidae
Description: HSALNT0049495
Source: RNAcentral